RNAcentral lists this long non-coding RNA (414 nucleotides) under Triticum aestivum (bread wheat). RNAcentral describes it as "long non-coding RNA (TAES_LNC017843)". Lineage: Eukaryota; Viridiplantae; Streptophyta; Magnoliopsida; Poales; Poaceae. The record is from RNAcentral.
AAAUCAGAUUGAGACGUGCACUUAGCAUUGCAGAUAUCGCACAUCCAUCUUGACGCUUCAGUUCCCUUGCCAUCUCCCUGCAGAGCUUCUAUGUUCUGUUGGUGCCUUCUGCUUCGGAGGUGACUCGAGAGUUCAGAUUGAGAUUUGCAGUUAGCACUGCAGAUGCUGCACAUCCAUCUUGACACUGGUGUCUGGUUAUUGUCCGCAAGCUGGGGCAUUUUCUUUUCAUGCAGCCUUGCUUCACUUCCCUUGCCUUCUCCCUGAAAAGCUUCUACGUUCUGUUGGUGCCUUCUGCUUCGGAGGUGACUCGAGAGGUCAGAUUGAGAUUUGCAGUUAGCACUGCAGAUGCUGCACAUCCAUCUUGACACUGGUGUCUGGUUAUUGUCCGCAAGCUGGGGCAUUUUCUUUUCAUGC